UGGCGAUGCUGUAGAUGUCGUCGGCGAAGUUGAUGACGAUGGCGUGGAUCUGUUCGACCAUCGGAUUUGAUUUGACAUUUCAAAGAAAUGUUGAAGGGUCCGAAGAAACGGGGAAUCAAAGAACCCCCUCCCCUCUUCUUUCGAAAGUAUCAAACCGGCGAUGUCGUUGAUGUCGUCGGUGAAGUUGAUGACGGUGGCGCGGAUUUGUUUGGCCGUCGGAUUUGAUUUGACAUUUUCGAAGAAAUGUUAAAGGGUCCAAAGAAACGGGAAAUCAAAGAUCCCCCUCCCCUCUUCUUUCGAAAGUAUCAAACCGGCGAUGUCGUAGAUGUCGUCGGUGAAGUUGAUGACGGUGGCGUGAAUCUGUUCGGCCAGCAAAUUUGAUUUGACAUUUUCAAAAGAAGUGUUGAAGGGUCCG
This 415-nucleotide long non-coding RNA is filed under the name Ananas comosus (pineapple). RNAcentral's name for it is "long non-coding RNA (ACOM_LNC019822)". The record is from RNAcentral. Lineage: Eukaryota; Viridiplantae; Streptophyta; Magnoliopsida; Poales; Bromeliaceae.